CCUGGCUCAGGAUGACGCUGGCGGCGUGCUUAACACAUGCAAGUCGAACGAAGAUAUGCAGAGAUGAGAUUUUCGGUCAAAUCAAGUGUAUCUUUAGUGGCGGACGGGUGAGUAACGCGUGGGUAACCUGCCAUAUACAGGGGGAUAACACUUAGAAAUAGGUGCUAAUACCGCAUAAGCGCACAUGGCCGCAUGGCCAGGUGUGAAAAACUCCGGUGGUAUAUGAUGGACCCGCGUCUGAUUAGCUAGUUGGUGAGGUAACGGCCCACCAAGGCGACGAUCAGUAGCCGGCCUGAGAGGGUGGACGGCCACAUUGGGACUGAGACACGGCCCAAACUCCUACGGGAGGCAGCAGUGGGGGAUAUUGGACAAUGGGGGGAACCCUGAUCCAGCGACGCCGCGUGAGUGAAGAAGUAUCUCGGCAUGUAAAGCUCUAUCAGCAGGGAAGAAAGAAAUGACGGUACCUGAGUAAGAAGCCCCGGCUAACUACGUG
RNAcentral lists this ribosomal RNA (493 nucleotides) under uncultured Lachnospiraceae bacterium. Its description in RNAcentral is "bacterial SSU rRNA". It matches the Rfam family "Bacterial small subunit ribosomal RNA", at positions 18 to 507 of the family's 1533-position model. Lineage: Bacteria; Bacillati; Bacillota; Clostridia; Lachnospirales; Lachnospiraceae. The record is from RNAcentral.